CAAAAUAAUCAAUACAUUAAUUACAUUAAAUACAUUAAUACGUGUCUUUUUUCAAAACAAACGACUAAUGUUGUGCAAAAAGGGGUUUCUACUGAAUUUCAUGGUUUCAGGGUUUAUGCUUGUUUAAAGAGUAAACUUAACAUAACUGACUGUUUUUGAGAUAUCAUAUUUUGCCUAAUUUUUCAAAUGCCUUUUGGGGUUUUCCUUUCUAUUCCUGCAAACACCACAUUUGCCAUAUGCUACUUCUAACAGUAAAUAAAUAGAGCUGCAGAUCUCUUGAAAAAUAUGUUGAUUAGUUAAUUCUAUACUUCACCAUAUGUUUCCACAUUUUAUUUUCUUUAGGAAAAAUAUAUUUUAGUUUCACUUUUCUCUUGAAGUAUCACAGCGUACAAGCCUCUGCUGAACAUACGUCCCUGUUCUCAGAUACACACGUGCAUCCACUGGCACAUGCCAAAAGUGAGAGCGCGGACAUGUAAAAAUCAGACAUAAAAAUGAAUUCCUGCCCCCGUAAGUACUUUGAUCUUUCCACCCACUACCCCCACACACACUUUCCUAACAAUCAUUGGGACAAAUCGCUGUGGGACCUUCCUCCAUGUCUCCUAGCAGUCAUACAUUGCCUUUCCGUUUAAGCCGUGACACACAGCAAUGUAAAAAUAACACAGUGGCACUUAAAAAGACACUAGGGUAAAGGAGACAAGGGAGCCAAAAGCAUUUCUGUUCAUCUCUAAUGGGACACCCACAAAUACCAGAAAAGGGGUAUUUGUCACCAAUGCACGAACGGAAAACUAAUCAAAUGACUGUCAGGAUGGACUCAUUGGCUGCCAAGAACAACCCUAAAAAUAGUAUAUAAAUACAUAUAUAUCGUUGAAGCUCAAUCACGCUUAAAAUAAUAAAAGAAAAGCCUGAUAAGAUUACAACUGUUCCAAAUCAUUAGAUGACAAAGGAGUAAUAGUUUGAGAAUGUGUGGAAAUUCCAACUAGGCGUUUUCCUGCAGAUAUUUAGUUUAGAAGACAUGUCCAUGCUCAUGUGAACAUUCCAAAAUAAGUUGUUUCCCUGCAGGACUUUUUCAAUAAAAUUGCUACUUACAAGUAAAAUAACUUCUUUCAAAAUACAAAAUUAUCAUGAGCAAAAUGUACUUAAAGAUUCAAAAGUAAAAGUACACAUCAUGUAGAAAGGACCCUUUGAUGGUCAUCAAGUAUUAUCUUACUUUUGUGUCAGACAUUUGGCCUAUCACAGGGCAGAACAAGACUUCACUAUUCAUUGAAUAGAAGAAAAUAUUAUAUACAUAAAAUAAUAACACAUAAAUACAAACUAAAAAAUAAUUAACAUAAAAUGCAUUUUGACUUUCAAAUAACCUUUUGGACUUGUGGACAGAAUGUUAUGAGUAAAUAAUUCUACAAUACAAAAAAAAGUUUACAAAGUUUAUCCUGAUUUAAUUUCUCCGGAUCUUCCCAAUAUGUUUCCAUAUUUAUUGGGUAUUAUGUGUUUGGAGUGCAACCAAUGUGUAUAGAACCAAACAUUUUUUUAAGGUUAAAUUACAAAAGUGUAUCAGUUCAAUUCCGUCCACAUUUUAACUACUUUAUAUCUUUAACACUUAUAUACUGUUCAUAUUUAAUGCCUUUGCAGUAGUCCGGCACUCUGGGUCAAUGACAAAUUUUAAACUACACAUCUAUUCAGAAUGUCUAAAUAGCCAAUGACUCAGUAAUACAGGCAUAUGCAAUAAAUAUUUUUAUUAAGGAUUAAAGAAUAUUUUUUAAGCUUGAUCAGGAAUCAGGAAACAUUUAUUGCCAAAAUAUGUCAUACAUACAAGGAAUUUGACUUGGCGGUUGGUGCGUGACAGUAGACAGUGUAACAACAGACAACAAGACAGCAGUGCACAAGAAAUAAAAUGAAAUGCUAAUGCUAUGGGUUAGUAGAAUAAGGCUAUGUGUUAGUAUAAAAUAAGAGAAUACAGUUAAAGUUAAAAAUAUAAAAUAUUUAAAAAGUAAAAAAAUAUUACAAAAUAAAGUGCACUAGCAACAAGUGACAAAGUGACGAGUGACGACAAAGUGAUGAGUGAAAAAUGACAGUUAAAGUGACAUGUGCAGUAUGAAAGAGAGUGGAAUGUCAGAGUCAGUCAGUGGGGGACUGGGCUCUGUUGAUGAGGCAGACUGCCGACGGGAUGAAACUGUUUGUGUGGCGGGAGGUCUUAGUCCUGAUAGACCUCAGCCUCCUACCAGAUGGAAGGGGCACAAACAGGUUUUGUCCGGGGUGAGAGGGGUCGGCUACGAUCUUUUUAGCUCGCUUCAGAGACCCAAGAAGCGAACAAGUCCUGCAGGGACGGCAGAUUGCAGCCGAUCACCCUCUCUGCAGAGCGGAUGACACGCUGCAGCCUGCCCUUGUCCUUGGCUGUGGCUGCAGCGGCGUACCAGACGGUGAUGGAGGAGCAGAGGAUGGACUCGAUGAUGGCCUUGUAAAAGUGGACCAUCAUCGUCUUUGGCAGGUUGAAUUUCUUUAGCUGCCUCAGGAAGAACAACCUCUGCUGAGCCUUCUUUGUGAUGGAGCUGAUGUUCAGCUCCCACUUGAGGUCCUGGGUGAUGAUGGAGCCCAGGAAACGUAAGGAAUCCACAAUAGUGACGGGGGAGUCACACAGGGUAAUGGGGGAAGGUGGGGCUCUGUUCCUCCAGAAAUCCACAACCAUCUCCACUGUCUUUAGAGCAUUGAGCUCCGGGUUGUUCUGGCUGCACCACGACACCAGAUGGUCAGACUGCCACCUGUAGGCGGACUCAUCCCCACCAGAGAUCAGUCCAAUGAGGGUGGUGUCAUCCGCAAACCUCAGGAGCUUGAUGGACUCGUGACUGGAGGUGCAGCUGUUGGUGUACAGGGAGAAGAGCAGAGGGGAAAGAACACAGCCUUGGGGGGAGCCGGUGCUGAUGGUCCGAGAGGCUGAGACAUGUUUCCCCAGCUCCACGUGCUGUUUCCUGUCAGACAGGAAGUCUGUGAUUCACUUGCAGGUGGAGUUGGGCACGUGCAGCUGGGAGAGUUUGUCCUGCAGCAGGGACGGGAUGAUGGUGUUGAAGGCAGAGCUGAAGUCCACAAACAGGAUCCUGGCGUAGGUUCCCGGGGAGUCCAGAUGCUGGAGGAUGUAGUGGAGGGCCAUGUUGACAGCAUCGUCCACAGACCUGUUGGCUCUGUAGGCGAACUGCAGGGGGUCCACGAGGGGGUCAGUGAGGGACUUCAGGUGGGUCAGGACUAGCCGUUCAAAAGACUUCAUGUAGUGAUUGAGUCCUGUGAUCCUGGGCUUCUUGGGAACAGCGAUGAUGGUGGAGGCCUUGAAGCAGGCUGGUACGUGGCAGGUCUCCAGGGAGGUGUUGAAGAUGUCAGUGAACACCGGAGACAUCUGGUCAGCACAAUGCUUCAGGGUAUGGGGGGAAACCGAGUCCGGACCGGCUGCCUUACGGGGAUUUUGUCUUUUAAAGAGCACAUUAACGUCUCUCUCCAGAAUAGAGAGGGUCGUUGCUGGUGGGGGAGGGGAAGGUCAUAUAGAUGUAGAGGCUUGAGCACCUGAUGGGCUGGGGGAGGGAGGGGUGCGGGACUGCAGCAGGUUGGUGGAGCUGUGGGGAAUGGGAUCAGGACAUUCUCUUUCGAAUCUGCAGUAGAACUCAUUCAGCUCGUCUGCCAGGCGGAGGUCAUUCAUGCAGUGGGGUUUUUUUGGCUUGUAGUUAGUGAGGUGUUUGAGGCCUCUCCAAACCAAAGCAGAGUCACUUGCUGAGAACUGUUUCUCAGAGUACAGUCAUUUAGCAUCUCUCACCGAUCUUUGUCCCCACUCCUAAAUGCCUGAUCCUUCCGCAGACGUAGUGUUCCGAGUUCCGCUGUGAACCAGGGUUUGUCGUUGUUGUAACUCACCCUGGUGCAUGAUGGUACACAGCUGUCCCCACAGAAGCCGAUGUAGGAAGUUACAGCCUCUGUGAACUCAUCCAGACUGUCAGUAGCAGUCCUGAAAACAUCCCAGUCUGUGCAGUCAAAGCACGCCCGAAGAUCCUCCAGCGCCUCACUGUCCACUUCUUGAAUUCCCUCACCACAGGUUUGCUUUAGUUUCUGCUUGUAUGCAGGAAUCAGAUGGACCAUGACGUGGUCAGAGUGUCCCAGUGCAGCACGAGGGACGGCGUGAUAAGUCCUGCUUACUGUGGUGUAACAGUGAUCCAGCGUGUUCUCCUCUCUGGUGGGGCAUUUAAUAAACUGUCUGUAUUUAGGUAGUUCAUGGGUGAGAUUACCUUUGUUAAAGUCCCCGAGGACAAUAACUAAAGAGUCCGGGUUGGUCCGCUCCACAUGCCGUAUCUGGUCGGCAAGUGUCCGCUGUGCCUCGUGCACGUUGCCCGCCGGCGGCAUGUAAACACCGACCAGGAUGAAUGAAGCGAACUCACGGGGAAUCCGGUAUCGAUCCUCAGAGCCACGUCUCCGUGGGUUAGAGCCACGUCUCCGUGAAUCACAAAACGGAGGAUGUAGAGAAGUCUCUGUCUCUCCUCACCUGCAGCUGAAUUUCGUCCAGUUUGUUGCACAGUGAGCGCACGUUGGAGAGAAAGAUGCCUGGCAGUGGAGUGCGAGAACCACGCUUGCGGAGUGUCACCAGCGAGCUGGCCCGUUUUCCUCUCCUACGGCGUCUCACCAUGUGAUGAAAGGUGAGCGCACCUUUGACUAUAAUGUCCAGUCAUUCCACGGAAGAUAGCAGGAAAGUUGCAAGUAACUCCGCUGGAGUUGUUCCACGGAUGUUCAAGAGCUCAUCUCUGGUGAAAGAGCUCCGGGAAUCGCAGCAGGAAACUUAAUUAACAACAAAAACAACAAAAAACGAAGCGCACCGAAGCACCGUGGCAGCCAUCAAGGGCGCCAUCUUGGAACAGGAUCUUUUAUGUUGGGAGGAGAGCAGCAAGACAUAAUUUAGAAGAUAAACAAUGCUUUUAUUAAUAAGCCAAAACCUAUAAUACUAUAAAAUAACUGCAAUUAUAUUGACAUCAGGUAAAAAGCCAGCCGUCUGUCCUGGGCUCUUCCAACCUUCAUGGACACCACCGCCUGAAAUAGUGGCUAAUAUACGCCUGGUACAAUUGUAGGUUAUAAAAACAUGCAAAUAAAACAAGCCAUGUUACAGACUACAGCCACCAUUAAUCUGGAUUGCAGCAGGACUAUUGGUCAGGUUAAACAAGGAAUUUAAAAAAAUGAAAAUUGCGGGCUCUAAGAUAAAAAAAAAAAAGAAUUUUUUUUUUUGAGACAGCCAAGAUUAGCGCAAAAAUUCCCCAAAUUAGCUUUUCUAGUUGUCCUUUUUUGUUGUUUCUUUUGCUUGCAUUCUAGUCUGACAUCAAUUGUCAUGAACAAGCGCUUAGUUUCAUAUGCCUGCGCUACAUGGGCAACUUGACUUGAACAAUCAGACUGGAUCGAUGUGGCAAAAAAUUGCUAAUAUAGGUACAAGGUUAGGAGAAUGAGGAGGAAGAAUGUGCCACAGCCGUCACAAUCAGCAGUGUCAAGCAAUCACUCGGGAGUUAAAAAAAAGCAAAAAUGUGUAAUGUGGAGGAGACCAGGGAGAGGAGUGAAAGAUGAGUCGGCCAAAGUAGGGAGGAUUGGAAGAAUGCACGGAUUACAUGAUUUCAGAAGGAUAAGACCAUGAGCCCGAUGAGCCUUAAAUGGGACGCAAUACAAAAGCAGGAGAAGAGAAUGUAUUUGAAUGGGACUCAAUAGGAGGCAGAGCGUGCAGCAGGAAAACAGUAGGCAGGUGGUGGUUAGCGGCAGAAAAAGAGGGCUUGGUAAGUGUGCAAGAUUGAUCGGUGAUUGCGCUUGGAAUUUGUGGCACUGAGUGUAGAAGCAAUAAAGAGCAAGAGAGUUGUAAAGACGAGGGAAUAUAAACUCCCAGAUGCCAGGUAUGUUUCCUACUGGGACGGGCGAGACGACAGGAGUCUAAUGAGUUCCCUCAUAGCCAGGCGGGUUUCAUCUUAUGAAUCAAACAAACAGUCUUACACACACCUUCGCACAAAGGCUCACAUAGCUGUAAUGAAUUACAGAGCUGGCAGCCUUAAACCUUGGCCUUGCACCUUAUCACACAAUAAACGCAUACAUCAUUUUGCUGGGCCGAUCGAUCCCUACACAACCAUUUGACACAAAUACACAUGGAAUCAAAGGGCCAGUGACAUAUUCCAUCACCUGUUGUAUCCUUGAAACCCUUCCACCAGCCUCCACAUUUUCUCACACAAUGGACAACAAUAUAUUGAAACAUUCAUGUCCCACUAUUUGUCUUGCAAAGGUUAAAUCUCAAAGACGCUUGAGCUAUAGGAAUGUGUGUAGAGGGUGUGUGUCAGCGCUCUCCCACGCUCUGACAGAGUGGAGAACACCAGAACAUCAGGAGACAACAACCUGCUCAGACAAAAGCAUCUCACUAGUGAGCGUAAGAGCAUCACACCAGUAAAC
This is a long non-coding RNA of Gasterosteus aculeatus aculeatus (three-spined stickleback), 6429 nucleotides long. Lineage: Eukaryota; Metazoa; Chordata; Actinopteri; Perciformes; Gasterosteidae. The record is from Ensembl.